Molecule: long non-coding RNA, 447 nt
Organism: Apis dorsata (giant honeybee)
Lineage: Eukaryota; Metazoa; Arthropoda; Insecta; Hymenoptera; Apidae
Exons: 2
Source: RefSeq, a predicted model, not a curated record
AUUAUGAAAUUAAGUAUCUAAGUUAACAAAAAAUAUAUAAACAAAGUUUAAGUUAAAAAAGAACUUACUAAUUGGUGGAGGAGGAUGAUCGUACAAAUACAUGGGAGGGGGUGAUUCCGUACGAGGUUGCACGGCACUCUUAGCGAUAUUUCGACCCAAUGUAGUGAUCACAUCCCCAGUUUUACUAAUUAUUUUUCCCUUUGAAGAGACAAGAUUAGAACGAUCGGUGAUGACAUAUCACGGUCGACCUGUUUUCUUCGAUGUCGAUUAUUCGAACAUAAGUUAUAAUUUCACGAUGGAAAUUAUAAAUUUCUACGACUUCGUGGACUGAUUAAUCGUGAAAUUGCUUGUACGAAAAAAAAUCUGUGUUAUUGAGCUAUUUUAUCUAGAUCACAAGAUAAUACAAAUUUUUAAAAAAUGUGCAAUUUCCAAGAACGAAAGAUAGAA